GAUGAACGCUGGCGGCGUGCUUAACACAUGCAAGUCGAACGAGAAGUGAAGACGGAAACCUUCGGGCGGAAGGCUUUAUUUCGAGUGGCGGACGGGUGAGUAACGCGUGGGUAACCUGCCUCAUACAGGGGGAUAACAGUUGGAAACGACUGUUAAUACCGCAUAAGACCACAGCACCGCAUGGUGCGGGGGUAAAAACUCCGGUGGUAUGAGAUGGACCCGCGUUCGAUUAGCCAGUUGGCGGGGUAACAGCCCACCAAAGCGACGAUCGAUAGCCGAUCUGAGAGGAUGACCGGCCACAUUGGGACUGAGACACGGCCCAAACUCCUACGGGAGGCAGCAGUGGGGAAUAUUGCACAAUGGGGGAAACCCUGAUGCAGCGACGCCGCGUGAGUGAAGAAGUAUUUCGGUAUGUAAAGCUCUAUCAGCAGGGAAGAAAAUGACGGUACCUGAGUAAGAAGCCCCGGCUAACUACGUG
Molecule: ribosomal RNA, 478 nt
Filed under: uncultured bacterium
Lineage: Bacteria
Description: partial 16S ribosomal RNA
Rfam family: Bacterial small subunit ribosomal RNA
Source: RNAcentral